CGCCUGUUGAUUAUAAUUUUAGGUCUGACCUGCCCAAUGAGGUUUUGAAUGGCCGCGGUAAACUGACCGUGCAAAGGUAGCAUAAUCACUAGUUUUUUAAUUGAAAGCUUGUAUGAAAGGUUUGAUGGAGAAGCAUCUGUCUCUUUGAGAAUUUACUAGAAUUUUAUUUUUAAGUAAGAAAGCUUAAAUAUAUAUGAAAGACGAGAAGACCCUAUAGAGUUUAAUAUUUAGGCAGAGGGGGGCGUUGAUGGAGUAAGUAGCGUUUUUUUUUGUCUAAUUAUUUUGUUGGGGUGAUAGGAAAAUUGAAUGAACUUUUCUUGUUUAAGCACACUUAUUUGUGGUUAGUUGAUCCUGGAUUUUAGAUUAAAAGAAUAAACUACCUUAGGGAUAACAGCGUAAUUCUUUUUAGAGUUCUUAUCGAAAAAAGAGAUUGCGACCUCGAUGUUGGAUUAAAAUAAAUUUUAGGUGUAGGAGCUUAAAUAUUAGGUCUGUUCGACCUUUGAAAUUUUACAUGAUCUGAGUUUAAACCGGUGUGAG
Molecule: ribosomal RNA, 537 nt
Filed under: Trigonopterus sp. 36 AR-2022a
Lineage: Eukaryota; Metazoa; Arthropoda; Insecta; Coleoptera; Curculionidae
Description: partial large subunit ribosomal RNA
Rfam family: Bacterial large subunit ribosomal RNA
Source: RNAcentral